RNAcentral lists this unclassified non-coding RNA (334 nucleotides) under soil metagenome. RNAcentral describes it as "partial contains 5.8S ribosomal RNA, internal transcribed spacer 2, and large subunit ribosomal RNA". The stretch from base 1 to 120 matches the Rfam family "5.8S ribosomal RNA", at positions 35 to 154 of the family's 154-position model. The record is from RNAcentral.
GAUGAAGAACGCAGCGAAAUGCGAUACGUAAUGUGAAUUGCAGAAUUCAGUGAAUCAUCGAAUCUUUGAACGCACAUUGCGCCUGCCAGCACUCUGGCAGGCAUGCCUGUUCGAGCGUCAUUUCAACCAUCAAGCCCUAGGCUUGCGUUGGAGCCCUGCGGCUGCCGCAGGCCCCUAAAAGCAGUGGCGGGCUCGCUAUCACACCGAGUGCAGUAGAUUACUCUUCGCUCAGGGCGUGUGGCGGGUUCCAGCCGUGAAACCCCCUACUUCUCAAGGUUGACCUCGGAUCAGGUAGGAAUACUCGCUGAACUUAAGCAUAUCAAUAAGCGGAGGA